Molecule: small nuclear RNA, 108 nt
Organism: Talpa occidentalis (Iberian mole)
Lineage: Eukaryota; Metazoa; Chordata; Mammalia; Eulipotyphla; Talpidae
Source: RefSeq, a predicted model, not a curated record
GUGCUCACUUCAACAGCACAUAUACUAAAAUUAGAAUGGCACAGAGAAGAUUAGGAUGGCCCCCUCACAAAGACUAAAGGCAAUAACAAAGACUAAAGAAACUAAUAU